GACUGUAUAGCUCAGUGGCAGAGUGCCUGCUUAGCAUGCACAAGGUCCUGGGUUCAAUCCCCAGUACCGCCA
RNAcentral lists this transfer RNA (72 nucleotides) under Camelus bactrianus (Bactrian camel). It matches the Rfam family "tRNA". From Rfam's summary of the family: Transfer RNA (tRNA) molecules are approximately 80 nucleotides in length. Their secondary structure includes four short double-helical elements and three loops (D, anti-codon, and T loops). Lineage: Eukaryota; Metazoa; Chordata; Mammalia; Artiodactyla; Camelidae. The record is from Rfam by way of RNAcentral. RNAcentral also lists the same sequence under 2 other names.